GCCCAGUUGGCGGAAUUGGUAGACGCGCUAGUUUCAGGGACUAGUGUCCUUAUGGACGUGAAGGUUCGAGUCCUUUACUGGGCACCA
Molecule: transfer RNA, 87 nt
Filed under: Marinilabilia rubra
Lineage: Bacteria; Pseudomonadati; Bacteroidota; Bacteroidia; Marinilabiliales; Marinilabiliaceae
Description: Marinilabilia sp. WTE tRNA-Leu
Rfam family: tRNA
About the family: Transfer RNA (tRNA) molecules are approximately 80 nucleotides in length. Their secondary structure includes four short double-helical elements and three loops (D, anti-codon, and T loops).
Source: RNAcentral